Molecule: unclassified non-coding RNA, 215 nt
Filed under: uncultured fungus
Lineage: Eukaryota; Fungi
Description: sequence contains ITS1
Source: RNAcentral
UUGACUUAUUUUAUAAGUUACUCAGAGAUGCCAAUUAAUACGAUAGUUUAGUAUACCUCUGGCGGGCUACCAACCCACGCGCCGGUAAGGGCGUUAGGGGGGGCGCGGCUCCCGUAAGGAAGCCACCCGCCGAAGCAACGGUAACGGUGAGGUUUACAAUGGUUUGGGAGUUUUGCAACUCUGUAAUGAUCCCUCCGCUGGUUCACCAACGGAGA